UAUAGUAUAUAGUAAAAACACUACAAUGUUUGAAUGAUAUAUGAAAAUAGUAUAGUACAUCAUAUUAUUCCUUUACAUCUUAAAUAGUACAAAAUAUUUUUACUUACAAACACUAUUUACUAUUUUAUAAAUUCAAGUCCGAUUUUAAAAAUUCAAAUCAUGUUGUAUGUUGAAGAAAACAUACAUUUUUGUGUAAUAAAUUUCAGAAUUGGAAUCUACUUUUUUGGAGAAGAUAUAUAGCAAAACAAAAUACAAGGAUCUUUUGCAAAAGUAACCAUUUUGAAAAAAGUAACUAAAUUUCUAACACCAGAAUUUUAUAAACUAAGUAAAUAACAUGAAUGAUAUUUAAAAAGUCUAUUUUGUCCUUCUCAUUUGUUGCAGCUGUAGGAUGUACACGCGUGGAAGACACACAUAAUGAAAGAAUAAAGAAGACAUAUAUAAGGAAAAAUACUUGGGUUCACCCCUAGGGAUGAACCCUUAUAUUCACCUCUUUUAUUUUAGCCAAUUAAAAUCUGACACCUAAUAAUAAUAAAAGA
This 536-nucleotide small RNA is filed under the name Arabidopsis thaliana (thale cress). RNAcentral's name for it is "ATSL209210". Lineage: Eukaryota; Viridiplantae; Streptophyta; Magnoliopsida; Brassicales; Brassicaceae. The record is from RNAcentral.